AGAGUUUGAUUCUGGCUCAGGAUUAACGCUGGCGGUAUGCAUAACACAUGCAAGUCUUUCUCCCGAUUUAUCGGGAGAAGGCGGACGGCUGAGUAACACGUUGGAACCUACCCUUAGCUCAGGGAUAACUUCGAGAAAUCGGAGAUAAUACCGGAUAGUUCCCCUUCGGGGGUAAAGCUUCGGCGGCUAAGGAGGGGCCUACGGCCUAUCAGCUUGUUGGUGAGAUAAUAGCUCACCAAGGCUAUGACGGGUAGCUGGUCUGAGAGGAUGACCAGUCAGACUGGGACUGAGACACGGCCCAGACUCCUACGGGAGGCAGCAGUGAGGAAUUUUCCGCAAUGGGGGCAACCCUGACGGAGCAAUACCGCGUGUAGGAUGACACCUCUAGGGGCGUAAACUACUUUUCUCAGGGAAUAAGUUCUGAAGGUACCUGAGGAAUAAGUCACGGCUAAUCACGUGCCAGCAGCCGCGGUAAUACGUGAGUGGCAAGCGUUAUCCGGAAUCAUUGGGCGUAAAGCGUCACCAGGGGGAUUGUUAAGUUGGAUGUAAAAGGCCUCGGCUCAACCGAGGUAGGGCAUCCAAAACUGGCUUUCUAGAAGGUAGUAGAGGUAGAUGGAAUUUCAGGAGUAGGGGUAAUAUCCGUAGAUCCCUGAAGGAACACCAAUAGCGAAGGCAAUCUACUGGACUAUCCUUGACCCUCACUGACGAAAGCGUGGGUAGCGAACGGGAUUAGAUACCCCGGUAGUCCACGCCGUAAACGAUGGAUACUAGGCGUAGGCAGCAUCGACCCUGUCUGUGCCGUAAGCUAACGCGUUAAGUAUCCCGCCUGAGGAGUACGGCCGCAAGGCUAAAACUCAAAGAAAUUGACGGGGAUCCACACAAGCGGUGGAGCAUGUGGUUUAAUUCGACGAUAAGCGGAGAACCUUACCAAGGCUUGACAUCCCGAGAAUUCUUGAGAAAUCAGGAAGUGCCUUUUGGAACUCGGUGACAGGCGUUGCAUGGUUGUCGUCAGCUCGUGCUGUGAAGUGUACGGUUAAGUCCGAUAACGAGCGCAACCCUCAUCAUUAGUUGUAUUUCUCUAAUGAGACUGCCCAGUGAAACUGGGAGGAAGGUGGGGACGACGUCAAAUCAGCAUGACCCUUAUGCCUUGGGCUACACACGUGCUACAAUGGCCGGUACAAUGGGUAGCGGACUCGUAAGAGUGAGCCAAUCCCCAAAACCGGUCUAAGUUCGGAUUGAGGGCUGCAAUUCGCCCUCAUGAAGUUGGAAUCGCUAGUAACCGCCAAUCAGCCAUGUGGCGGUGAAUAUGUUCCUGGAUCUUGUACACACCGCCCGUCACAUCAUGGGAGAUGGAGACACCAGAAGAUGCUUUAGCCAAUCUUUUUAAGUAGGCGAGCAGCCAAGGUGAAGCCAUUGACUGGGAUGAAGUCGUAACAAGGUA
RNAcentral lists this ribosomal RNA (1441 nucleotides) under metagenome. RNAcentral's name for it is "bacterial SSU rRNA". It matches the Rfam family "Bacterial small subunit ribosomal RNA". The record is from RNAcentral.